GGGACCGAGCGGCGGACGGGUUAGUAACGCGUGGGAACAUACCCUUUUCUACGGAAUAGCCUCGGGAAACUGAGAGUAAUACCGUAUAAGCCCUUCGGGGGAAAGAUUUAUCGGGAAAGGAUUGGCCCGCGUUAGAUUAGAUAGUUGGUGGGGUAAUGGCCUACCAAGUCUACGAUCUAUAGCUGGUUUUAGAGGAUGAUCAGCAACACUGGGACUGAGACACGGCCCAGACUCCUACGGGAGGCAGCAGUGGGGAAUCUUAGACAAUGGGCGCAAGCCUGAUCUAGCCAUGCCGCGUGUGUGAUGAAGGUCUUAGGAUCGUAAAGCACUUUCGCCAGGGAUGAUAAUGACAGUACCUGGUAAAGAAACCCCGGCUAACUCCGUGCCAGCAGCCGCGGUAAUACGGAGGGGGUUAGCGUUGUUCGGAAUUACUGGGCGUAAAGCGUACGUAGGCGGAUCAGAAAGUAGGGGGUGAAAUCCCAGGGCUCAACCCUGGAACUGCCUCCUAAACUCCUGGUCUUGAGUUCGAGAGAGGUGAGUGGAAUUCCAAGUGUAGAGGUGAAAUUCGUAGAUAUUUGGAGGAACACCAGUGGCGAAGGCGGCUCACUGGCUCGAUACUGACGCUGAGGUACGAAAGUGUGGGGAGCAAACAGGAUUAGAUACCCUGGUAGUCCACACCGUAAACGAUGAAUGCCAGUCGUCGGGCAGUAUACUGUUCGGUGACACACCUAACGGAUUAAGCAUCC
This 746-nucleotide ribosomal RNA is filed under the name uncultured Sulfitobacter sp. Its description in RNAcentral is "bacterial SSU rRNA". It matches the Rfam family "Bacterial small subunit ribosomal RNA", at positions 87 to 869 of the family's 1533-position model. The record is from RNAcentral. Lineage: Bacteria; Pseudomonadati; Pseudomonadota; Alphaproteobacteria; Rhodobacterales; Roseobacteraceae.